GUUGACCUCGAAUCAGGUAGGACUACCCGCUGAACUUAAGC
RNAcentral lists this ribosomal RNA (41 nucleotides) under Beauveria bassiana. RNAcentral's name for it is "partial 28S ribosomal RNA". Lineage: Eukaryota; Fungi; Ascomycota; Sordariomycetes; Hypocreales; Cordycipitaceae. The record is from RNAcentral. RNAcentral also lists the same sequence under 2 other names.